RNAcentral lists this ribosomal RNA (892 nucleotides) under uncultured bacterium. Its description in RNAcentral is "bacterial SSU rRNA". It matches the Rfam family "Bacterial small subunit ribosomal RNA", at positions 505 to 1397 of the family's 1533-position model. The record is from RNAcentral.
GUGCCAGCNGCCGNGGUAAUACGUAGGUGGCAAGCGUUGUCCGGAUUUAUUGGGCGUAAAGCGAGCGCAGGCGGUUUUUUAAGUCUGAUGUGAAAGCCUUCGGCUCAACCGAAGAAGUGCAUCGGAAACUGGGAAACUUGAGUGCAGAAGAGGACAGUGGAACUCCAUGUGUAGCGGUGAAAUGCGUAGAUAUAUGGAAGAACACCAGUGGCGAAGGCGGCUGUCUGGUCUGUAACUGACGCUGAGGCUCGAAAGUAUGGGUAGCAAACAGGAUUAGAUACCCUGGUAGUCCAUACCGUAAACGAUGAAUGCUAAGUGUUGGAGGGUUUCCGCCCUUCAGUGCUGCAGCUAACGCAUUAAGCAUUCCGCCUGGGGAGUACGGCCGCAAGGCUGAAACUCAAAGGAAUUGACGGGGGCCCGCACAAGCGGUGGAGCAUGUGGUUUAAUUCGAAGCUACGCGAAGAACCUUACCAGGUCUUGACAUACUAUGCAAAUCUAAGAGAUUAGACGUUCCCUUCGGGGACAUGGAUACAGGUGGUGCAUGGUUGUCGUCAGCUCGUGUCGUGAGAUGUUGGGUUAAGUCCCGCAACGAGCGCAACCCUUAUUAUCAGUUGCCAGCAUUAAGUUGGGCACUCUGGUGAGACUGCCGGUGACAAACCGGAGGAAGGUGGGGAUGACGUCAAAUCAUCAUGCCCCUUAUGACCUGGGCUACACACGUGCUACAAUGGAUGGUACAACGAGUUGCGAACUCGCGAGAGUAAGCUAAUCUCUUAAAGCCAUUCUCAGUUCGGAUUGUAGGCUGCAACUCGCCUACAUGAAGUCGGAAUCGCUAGUAAUCGCGGAUCAGCAUGCCGCGGUGAAUACGUUCCCGGGCCUUGUACACACCGCCCGU